RNAcentral lists this transfer RNA (62 nucleotides) under Cnizocoris sinensis. RNAcentral describes it as "tRNA-Glu". It matches the Rfam family "tRNA". Rfam says of the family: Transfer RNA (tRNA) molecules are approximately 80 nucleotides in length. Their secondary structure includes four short double-helical elements and three loops (D, anti-codon, and T loops). Lineage: Eukaryota; Metazoa; Arthropoda; Insecta; Hemiptera; Phymatidae. The record is from RNAcentral.
AUUCAGGUAGUUUAAUAAAACAUUUCAUUUUCAAUGAAAAGAUAGAAUAUUUCUCCCGAAUA